Long non-coding RNA from Dama dama (fallow deer), 275 nucleotides. RefSeq lists it as uncharacterized. NCBI's taxonomy places the organism in Eukaryota, Metazoa, Chordata, Mammalia, Artiodactyla, Cervidae. The record is from RefSeq and is a predicted model, not a curated record. The transcript has 3 exons.
CCCUGGAGAAGGAAAUGGCAACCCACUCCAGUACUACUGCCUGGAGAAUCUUAUUGACAGAAGAGCCUGGUGGGCUACAGUUCAUGGGAUCGCAAAGAGUCGGACAUGACUGAAGUGACUUACAUGAGCCAUUCACAGGAGAAGUUUUAGCAGCUACCUCAGAGAACUGUACCUGAUACGUGGGCAAUUACUGACCAGAAACAUGUAGAACUCAAGAGGAAAGAAAAAGAAAGCACUCACCGCCAUUGUUUGACUCCUGAAACAGGCAUUUGAGG